GCUUUUACAGUAUGAAAAUUGGUGAUUUAUAAUAACUUAGCAAAUCGCAUAGGGGAAAACAGGCGAUAAAUCAUUCAAGUUUCUGACCUAUCAGCUUUCGACGGUAUGGUAUUGGCUUACCGUGGCAGUGACGGUUAACGGGGGAUUAGGGUUCGAUUCCGGAGAGGGAGCCUGAGAAACGGCUACCACAUCUAAGGAAGGCAGCAGGCGCGCAAAUUACCCAAUUCUAACAGUUUGAGAGAGGUAGUAACAAGAAAUAACAAUACAAGGCAGUUAAAAUGCUUUGUAAUUGGAAUGAUAGAAAUUUAAACCCUUUUUAAAGUAUCAAUUGGAGGGCAAGUCUGGUGCCAGCAGCCGCGGUAAUUCCAGCUCCAAUAGCGUAUAUUAAAAUUGUUGCAGUUAAAAAGCUCGUAGUUGAAGUUCUGCUAAAAGUAACCGGUCUGCUUUGAAUAAAAGUGGUAUCUUGGUAUGUAUUUAGCAAUGAUGUCCUUUGAAGUGUUUUUUACUUUAUUGUAAUAAAGCAUAUUCAGGACUUUUACUUUGAGAAAAUUAGAGUGUUUCUAGCAGGCCAACGCUUUGAAUACUGCAGCAUGGAAUAAUAAG
RNAcentral lists this ribosomal RNA (603 nucleotides) under Hepatozoon canis. RNAcentral describes it as "SSU rRNA". It matches the Rfam family "Eukaryotic small subunit ribosomal RNA", at positions 227 to 821 of the family's 1831-position model. Lineage: Eukaryota; Apicomplexa; Hepatozoidae. The record is from RNAcentral.